RNAcentral lists this long non-coding RNA (251 nucleotides) under Elaeis guineensis (African oil palm). Its description in RNAcentral is "long non-coding RNA (EGUI_LNC009876)". Lineage: Eukaryota; Viridiplantae; Streptophyta; Magnoliopsida; Arecales; Arecaceae. The record is from RNAcentral.
AGGUAUACUUUGGAGGCACAGGAGACAAGAUAAGCUCUGAUGGAGGUAUUAUUUUUGGUCAGAGAGGAGACUGUGAGAUUGUUUCAGGCACUUACUUCAGCAAGAGAGGAUGUUUAUGAUCGAGGUUAGUCAUCUAGAGACAUCAAAUCACAUCUCCUUCUACCUAGUCUGGAUCUUUAUCUUAGAAUUAUCCUAAUCUAUCCUUGCUUAGGAUGCUAGGAUUUCUCUCAUAAAGCUUUAGUAACCCCAGC